GACGAACGCUGGCGGCGUGCCUAACACAUGCAAGUCGAGCGGGGAGAGAUUUUCGGAUUUCUCUUUAGCGGCGGACGGGUGAGUAACACGUGGGUAACCUGCCUCAAAGAGGGGGAUAGCCUUCCGAAAGGAAGAUUAAUACCGCAUAAUAUCAGGAAGCUGCAUGGCAUUCUGAUUAAAGGAGCAAUCCGCUUUGAGAUGGACCCGCGGCGCAUUAGCUAGUUGGUGAGGUAACGGCCCACCAAGGCGACGAUGCGUAGCCGACCUGUGAGGGUGAUCGGCCACAUGAGAACUGAGACACGGUCCAGACUCCUACGGGAGGCAGCAGUGGGGAAUAUUGCACAAUGGGGGAAACCCUGAUGCAGCAACGCCGCGUGAGUGAUGAAGGCCUUCGGGUCGUAAAGCUCUUUGAUCAGGGACGAUAAUGACGGUACCUGAAAAGCAAGCCACGGCUAACUACGUGCCAGCCGCCGCAGUAA
Molecule: ribosomal RNA, 479 nt
Filed under: uncultured bacterium
Lineage: Bacteria
Description: partial 16S ribosomal RNA
Rfam family: Bacterial small subunit ribosomal RNA
Source: RNAcentral